AUGUAUCUGGUGAAGGACAUCGGCGGGGCCAUCGGGCUGAUGGCGGCGGCCCUGGUGCUCCUGGGCACCUGGCCGGUCGUGCUCGCCGUGCUGGAGCGCCGGGGCCGGCUGCCGCAGCACACGUACCUGGACUACUCCAUCACCAACUUCCUGGCCGCCGUGCUGAUCGCCCUCACAUUCGGCCAGAUCGGCGGCGACACGCCGGAGACGCCCAAUUUCCUCACUCAGCUCGCCCAGACCCAGGACUACUGGCCGUCGAUCAUGUUUGCGCUGGCGGGCGGCGUGGUGAUCACCCUCGGAACCGUGGCUACACAGUACGGCUGGGCAUACGUCGGGCUUUCGGUCACCGAGGUCAUGGCCUCAAGUCUCAAGGUUGUCAUAGGGACAACACUGAACUAUUUUCUGGACGGCCGGAUCAACAGGGCAGAGGUUCUCUUCCCCGGCGUCGGAUGCUUUCUGAUUGCAGCCUGCCUGGGCUCACUUGUUCACUCCUCCAAUGCUGCUGACAACCAGGAGAAGCUAUCAAACUCCAGAAACUACUCUGCUGGGAACACUGCAAAGGAAGAUCUCACCCAACACCUUGUUCAAGAAGAAGAGGAACCAAAGGAUUGUGAAGAAGCACUACCAAAUAAUAAGGCUGUGGAGAAAGCCGAGGCAGGAACAGCAGAUUUCCUCAUCGAUCUGGAGGACAAGAGAUCAAUCAAGGUUCUUGGAUCCAACACGCUGGUGGGGCUGGCGAUCGUGACGUUCGCGGGGGUGUGCUACUCGCUGUUCGCGCCGGCGUUCAACCUGGCGACCAACGACCAGUGGCACACGCUGCGCGACGGCCUGCCGCACCUCGUGGUCUACACCGCCUACUUCUACUUCUGCCUCUCCUCCCUCGUCGUCGGCGUGGCGCUCAACGUCUGGUGCCUCUACCGCCCCAUGGCCGGCGUGCCGCGGUCGACGCUGCGGGCGUACGCCGGCGACCGGGAGGGGAGGGGGCUGGCGCUGCUGGCGGGGCUGGUGUCCGGGCUGGGCAACGCGUUCACGUUCAUGGCCGGGCAGGCGGCCGGGUACGCGGCGGCGGACUCCGUGCAGGCGCUGCCGCUGGUGAGCACCUUCUGGGGCGUGGUGCUGUUCGGGGAGUACCGGAGGUCGUCGCGGAGGACCUACACGCUGCUGGGGAGCAUGCUCUUCAUGUUCGUCGUCGCCAUGACCGUGCUCAUGGCCUCCUCCGCGCACAGGAAGCCGCUCUGA
This 1239-nucleotide ribosomal RNA is filed under the name Triticum aestivum (bread wheat). Its description in RNAcentral is "partial small subunit ribosomal RNA". The record is from RNAcentral. Lineage: Eukaryota; Viridiplantae; Streptophyta; Magnoliopsida; Poales; Poaceae.